RNAcentral lists this long non-coding RNA (559 nucleotides) under Androctonus crassicauda. The record is from RNAcentral. Lineage: Eukaryota; Metazoa; Arthropoda; Arachnida; Scorpiones; Buthidae.
CUUUGAUAGCUAAAGCAGUGUUCAAUCUGCUUUUAGUUACAUCCUUCUUAUGUUCCUCUAACUUUUGGGCCAGGGUUUGAUUCAUCACCCCUAUAUAUGAUGCUGUCUACUGUGUUUUCUCAUCCUUCAUUGGGGGGAUUCUGUAUUACUUUUGUCUUUUUAUUCUCUUUCCAAGAAUCCUUUUCAUUUCUUAAGAUGUUAAAUACUAUGGGACCCCUCAAAGUUACUUGUUUACUCUCCUUCUUAGCCAGCUUGUUUACAAAAUCAUAUCCUUUUAGAUUGUGUGGUACAGCUAGGUAACCCUGAUGUUUCUUAGACCUAGUUGGAUGUAUUGUUACUUGUAGGUCAUUAUUUAAUCUUGGUGCAAGCCUCUUUCUUUUCCUAUGGUAUAUACUUAAAUGAUUUACUUUAUCCAUGUUGCUUUCUCACUUCUACAAUGUAAUUUACCUCUUUAUUCAAUUCUUCCUCUCCCAUAAUGUAUAAAAUAAUAUAGUAUAGUUGUAAUUCUUGGUGUAUAUGGUACUGAUGAGGGACUGAUAGUGUCCGAAAAUGUUACGCC